UACGUAGGUGGCUAGCGUUGUCCGGAUUUAUUGGGCGUAAAGAGCGCGUAGGCGGUCGGUCAAGUCGGGUGUGAAAGCCCCCGGCUCAACUGGGGAGGGUCACGCGAUACUGUUCGACUCGAAGGCAGGAGAGGGGAGUGGAAUUCCCGGUGUAGUGGUGAAAUGCGUAGAUAUCGGGAGGAACACCAGUGGCGAAGGCGGCUUCCUGGGCCGGUUCUGACACUGAGGAGCGAAAGCGUGGGGAGCGAUCCGG
RNAcentral lists this ribosomal RNA (253 nucleotides) under uncultured bacterium. Its description in RNAcentral is "partial 16S ribosomal RNA". It matches the Rfam family "Bacterial small subunit ribosomal RNA", at positions 524 to 776 of the family's 1533-position model. The record is from RNAcentral.